UACGAAGGGGGCUAGCGUUGCUCGGAAUUACUGGGCGUAAAGGGCGCGUAGGCGGCACUGUUAGUCAGGCGUGAAAGUCCUGGGCUCAACCUGGGAACUGCGCUUGAUACGGCAGAGCUAGAGGAUGGAAGAGGCUCGCGGAAUUCCCAGUGUAGAGGUGAAAUUCGUAGAUAUGGGGAGGAACACCGGUGGCGAAGGCGGCCACCUGGACGGUAACUGACGCUGAGACGCGAAAGCGUGGGGAGCAAACAGG
This 253-nucleotide ribosomal RNA is filed under the name uncultured bacterium. Its description in RNAcentral is "partial 16S ribosomal RNA". It matches the Rfam family "Bacterial small subunit ribosomal RNA", at positions 524 to 776 of the family's 1533-position model. The record is from RNAcentral.